AUGAAUGGAGCCUUUAUUAUGAAGAAACAAGGUAGAGUUGGUGGAGCAUGUGUGUGUUUUGUUGUCCUUAUGGAAGUCAGCCUGACUAGGGUAAGCAGUGUUUUUUGUUCAUGGUAGAUUUAAAAAUCCAUCACCUCAUAAACAUUAACUGGUCCUUGGUUCACUUUCCAGAAGAUGCCCAGAGUAGUGCUCGGUGAACACUUGUGGAGUGGAGAUGAGCUGCCUUCCAGAAAUCAGUCCAGUUGCCAGCAGGAAAUGGAUGGCAUUCCUCAACUGGGGUUUUUGAAGCAACUUUCUAAAGAAGGGACUAUUUGCAAAAGUGUGGGCAGAGACACUAGCAACACCAUGAACAACAUAAAGCCAUUAUCACUCUCAGGCCUUUAAAUUCCAGAUUCCCCAGGGUAGAUACACAUGCUCUGACUGUCGGACCUUGUGGAAUUUUCUCUUGUCCAAAAUGGAAUUUGUAGAUUCUUCACACCUGAAUUUUCUCAAGAAUGAAGAGAACUGACAGGACGUAGACAUGACAUCAUCAUGAUUAAGUUAUAAUUAAUCAUUAAUUGUAGCUGAAGAAUAAAUGUUAUUUCAUGAGGAACAAAACUGUACCAUCAA
Molecule: long non-coding RNA, 609 nt
Organism: Galeopterus variegatus (Sunda flying lemur)
Lineage: Eukaryota; Metazoa; Chordata; Mammalia; Dermoptera; Cynocephalidae
Exons: 3
Source: RefSeq, a predicted model, not a curated record